UAUGGGUUUCUGAUAGUUGAU
Molecule: non-coding RNA, 21 nt
Filed under: Caenorhabditis elegans
Lineage: Eukaryota; Metazoa; Nematoda; Chromadorea; Rhabditida; Rhabditidae
Source: RNAcentral